AGUGAACGCUGGCGGUAGGCCUAACACAUGCAAGUCGAACGGCAGCACAGUAAGAGCUUGCUCUUACGGGUGGCGAGUGGCGGACGGGUGAGGAAUACAUCGGAAUCUACUUUUUCGUGGGGGAUAACGUAGGGAAAUUUACGCUAAUACCGCAUACGACCUACGGGUGAAAGCAGGGGAUUUUCGGACCUUGCGCGUAUGAAUGAGCCGAUGUCGGAUUAGCUAGUUGGCGGGGUAAAGGCCCACCAAGGCGACGAUCCGUAGCUGGUCUGAGAGGAUGAUCAGCCACACUGGAACUGAGACACGGUCCAGACUCCUACGGGAGGCAGCAGUGGGGAAUAUUGGACAAUGGGCGCAAGCCUGAUCCAGCCAUACCGCGUGGGCGAAGAAGGCCUUCGGGUUGUAAAGCCCUUUUGUUGGGAAAGAAAAGCAGCAGGUUAAUACCCCGCUGUUCUGACGGUACCCAAAGAAUAAGCACCGGCUAACUUCGUG
Molecule: ribosomal RNA, 492 nt
Filed under: uncultured bacterium
Lineage: Bacteria
Description: partial 16S ribosomal RNA
Rfam family: Bacterial small subunit ribosomal RNA
Source: RNAcentral